UUUUGAUGAUGAAUACAACUAGCUCACUUUGAACAAAAUGAAACGUCAGGAACUGCCUGAAAAAC
This is a small nucleolar RNA of Laticauda laticaudata (blue-ringed sea krait), 65 nucleotides long. NCBI's taxonomy places the organism in Eukaryota, Metazoa, Chordata, Lepidosauria, Squamata, Elapidae. The record is from Ensembl.